Molecule: long non-coding RNA, 139 nt
Organism: Stylophora pistillata
Lineage: Eukaryota; Metazoa; Cnidaria; Anthozoa; Scleractinia; Pocilloporidae
Source: RefSeq, a predicted model, not a curated record
GAGCUUUUAUUGGUCCAAGCCUCGGAGGUGCUUUUGACGAACAUUUUGGUUUUGAGUGGGCAAUGACGAUUGCAGGUCUCAUAAGUUUCGCUCAAGCACUCGUUGUGCUUAUAUUCACAUUGGUGGAGAAGGUGUCCCG